GAUGAACGCUGGCGGCGUGCUUAACACAUGCAAGUCGAACGGAAAGGCCGUGCUUUUGUGGGGUUCUCGCGGGGCGAACGGGUGAGUAACAUGUGAGUAUCCUUCCCUGGACUUUGGGAUAACUUCAGAAAACUGGGGCUAAUACCUAAUAGGAGCUCCUGCUGGAUGGUGGGCGUUGGAAAUUAUCGGCGGAGGGGGAUGGAUUGGGGGGUUAUGAGCUUGUUGGUUGGGUAGUUGCCUACCAAGGCAUUGACAGCUAGGCGGCAUGAGAGCGUGAACGGCGACAUUGGGACUGCGAGAGGGAGCAGAGUCCUACGGUGGGCAGUAGUGGGGAACAUUACACAGUGAGCGGAAGUGUGAUGAAGAAGCGCUGCGUGCGGAAUGACGGCCUUCGGGUUGUAAACCGCUUUAGGCUGAGACGAAGCGUGAGUGACGGUAAUGGGUGAAGAAGCACCGGCUAACUACGUG
Molecule: ribosomal RNA, 468 nt
Filed under: uncultured bacterium
Lineage: Bacteria
Description: partial 16S ribosomal RNA
Rfam family: Bacterial small subunit ribosomal RNA
Source: RNAcentral